UCCAAUGUGGUGUAGAGGCUAACAUUGCUGUCUUUCAUAAGGCUCUUCACGUGGUAUUCACAGCAGCCCGGGGUUCGAUUCCCCGCAUUGGAA
Molecule: non-coding RNA, 93 nt
Organism: Paramarasmius palmivorus
Lineage: Eukaryota; Fungi; Basidiomycota; Agaricomycetes; Agaricales; Marasmiaceae
Source: the annotation of a GenBank genome assembly